This 869-nucleotide ribosomal RNA is filed under the name uncultured bacterium. RNAcentral's name for it is "partial 16S ribosomal RNA". The stretch from base 84 to 369 matches the Rfam family "Bacterial small subunit ribosomal RNA", at positions 55 to 353 of the family's 1533-position model. The record is from RNAcentral.
AACUACCUGUGCACUGCGAAUGCCAUAUAGGAUUAAGUUUGAUCAUGGCUCAGAUCGAACGCUGUAGUGCAGAUGCCUAACACAUGCAAGUCGAGCGGAUGACGGGAGCUUGCUCCUUGAUUCAGCGGCGGACGGGUGAGUAAUGCCUAGGAAUCUGCCUGGUAGUGGGGGACAACGUAUCGAAAGGAACGCUAAUACCGCAUACGUCCUACGAGGAGAAAGCAGGGUGACCUUCGUGGCCUUGACUGCUAUCAGAUGUGGCCUAAGUGUCGGAUUAGCUACGUUAGNGUGAGUGUAAUGGCUCACCAAAGUGCGACAGAUCCGUACACUUGGUCUUUGACGAAGGGAUUUGAAUUCCAUGGUUCAACACCCUUGGGAAACCUGAAGAAACAACGUGUCCUAAGGAACUUCACUAACUGUNGUGGAAUNUGGCAAGCCAAGUUUGGUGGGGCAAUAUUUUUGGAACCAAUUGGGGGCUGGAAAUAUGGUCCCUUGAAUACCCAAGACCAAUUGGCACUGCNGUUAGUUNGUUUGAACAAGAAANANGUGUUCUUUCCAGGUGCAAUUUAGUUAAAAUUGUCCUGACCAUUUUNUGANACNGGGAUCUUAGGAGNGCAACGNUGAAACACACGGUNGNGUCCCCAACGGUAUANCAACGGUUUUACACAUUAAACCNCUUUUUGGACUUUGGGUAUANUUAUUUAGGAACANCGANGUAUAUAACCCCCAGGAAAUCCANGGAACAAUUAACAACUGGCCAUCACCNGGGAACUUAAAAUACCUUUCCCUUAAGGAAAGACCACANGCGCGCAANAGAUCCACGCCUGUGUUAACNAUUAACCCAAUGNCACGAGGGGAGUGUAGGCACA